UUAGGGUUCGAUUCCGGAGAGGGAGCCUGAGAAACGGCUACCACUUCUAAGGAAGGCAGCAGGCACGCAAAUUACCCACUGGUCGAAGACCGAGGUAGUGACGAAAAAUAACGAAGCCGGACUCAUCCGAGGCCCGGUUAUCGGAAUGGGUACACUUUAAAUCCUUUAACUAGGAACAAUUGGAGGGCAAGUCUGGUGCCAGCAGCCGCGGUAAUUCCAGCUCCAAUAGCGUAUAUUAAAGUUGUUGCGGUYAAAAAGCUCGUAGUUGGAUCUCGGCGAAUAGGGGAUGGUUCAUUGUUUGAUGUUACUGUCCCAUUUAUUCGUGUUUUUGAUGGAGGUUCCAGGGUGCUCUUAAUUGAGUGUCUUGGAAUGCCAUCAGGUUUACUUUGAAAAAAUUAGAGUGCUCAAAGCAGGCUUUAUAAGCUUGAAUAUUCGUGCAUGGAAUAAUAGAAUAGGAUGUCUUUUCUAUUUUGUUGGUUUUCGGAAAUUGACAUAAUGAUUAAUAGGGACAGUCGGGGGCAUUAGUAUUCAGACGACAGAGGUGAAAUUCUUGGACCGUCUGAAGACUAACUACUGCGAAAGCAUUUGCCAAGAAUGUUUUCAUUAAUCAAGAACGAAAGUUAGAGGUUCGAAGGCGAUCAGAUACCGCCCUAGUUCUAACCAUAAACGAUGCCAGCUAGCGAUCCGCAGUUGUUUUUAUUGUAGGCUCUGCGGGAAGCUUCCGGGAAACCAAAGCUUUUGGGUUCCGGGGGAAGUAUGGUUGCAAAGCUGAAACUUAAAGGAAUUGACGGAAGGGCACCACCAGGAGUGGAGCCUGCGGCUUAAUUUGACUCAACACGGGAAAUCUCACCAGGCCCGGACACUGGAAGGAUUGACAGAUUGAGAGCUCUUUCUCGAUUCGGUGGGUGGUGGUGCAUGGCCGUUCUUAGUUGGUGGAGUGAUUUGUCUGGUUAAUUCCGAUAACGAACGAGACUCUGUCCUGCUAAAUAGUUUCAAYGUCAUUUUUKUKGCAUUGAAAAUUCUUCUUAGAGGGACUGGUAGCGUCUAGCUCCACGAGAUUGAGCAAUAACAGGUCUGUGAUGCCCUWAGAUGUUSUGGGCUGCACGCGCGCUACACUGAAAGGAUCAGCGUGUGUUCCCUGACCGAGAGGUUGCGGGUAACCCGUUGAACCCCUUUCGUGGUAGGGAUCGGGGCUUGCAAUUAUUCCCCGUGAACCAGGAAUUCCCAGUAAGCGKAAGUCAUAAGCUUWCGUUGAUUACGUCCCUGCCCUUUGUACACACCGCCCGUCGCUACUACCGAUUGAACGUUUUAGUGAGGUAUUUGGAUCGAACCUCUAGAGGGCAACCUCUSAGUUGUUCGAGAAGACUCCCAAACUUGAGCGUUUAGAGGAAGUAAAAGUCGUAACAA
Molecule: ribosomal RNA, 1407 nt
Filed under: Nemesis sp. 5 SMD-2008
Lineage: Eukaryota; Metazoa; Arthropoda; Copepoda; Siphonostomatoida; Eudactylinidae
Description: SSU rRNA
Rfam family: Eukaryotic small subunit ribosomal RNA
Source: RNAcentral